This is a non-coding RNA of Dermatophagoides farinae (American house dust mite), 545 nucleotides long. Lineage: Eukaryota; Metazoa; Arthropoda; Arachnida; Sarcoptiformes; Pyroglyphidae. The record is from RefSeq and is a predicted model, not a curated record.
AACCAUGACCACUGAUGAAUUUUUUUUCCGAUGUCAUUUGUGUAUCUUUUUGACCAGAAACAUUUUUCUGGAAAAUGAAUUUCAAAGAAGAAGACACGCAAACACACAAAUCAUUUGAAAUUUGCAUGACAAUUACUGAUGUUGAAAGAGAAUACCAUCCUAAUUCAAAUUCCAAUUGUCAUCCAUUCGACAUGGCUAUCCAUUAUUAUUAACGUAAUCCUCAAAUAAUUUUAAUGAUGAUUUCUUAGGAACAAAAAAAGAAAAAAUCUGAUUUCAUUAAUGAUUCAUCAUCAUCAUCAUCAUCAAUCUAUGGAUAAAAUGUUGAAGCCCAAUCGUGAUUGAAACAUUAUGAAUAGAGCAAACAAACAAAAAAAAAAUGAAAAUUUUUUUCGACAAUCAACCAAUAAGCCACCGAAAAAAAUAUGAAAAUUUUCCUUCAUUUUUCCCUUUUAUUAUUCAUGUCAAGGACAUUGGGGUAUAUGAUUUGUCGACGAUUGCAAUUUAUUAUUCUUUUUUAAUCAUCUCAUACACACAAAUAGAUUUCG